CUGCUGCCUCCCGUAGGAGUCUGGGCCGUGUCUCAGUCCCAGUGUGGCCGGCCACCCUCUCAGGCCGGCUACCUAUCGUCGCCUUGGUAGGCCAUUACCCUACCAACUAGCUAAUGGGACGCGAGUCCAUCUUUCAGCGUCAGGUCUCCCCAACUUUUCCUAUAUAAACAUGCACUUAUAUAACUCAUCCGGCAUUAGCUCACCUUUCGGUAAGUUGUUCCAGUCUAAAAGGCAGGUCACUCACGUGUUACUCACCCG
Molecule: ribosomal RNA, 258 nt
Filed under: uncultured bacterium
Lineage: Bacteria
Description: partial 16S ribosomal RNA
Source: RNAcentral